CCUACGGGUGGCAGCAGUGAGGAAUAUUGGUCAAUGGGCUUACGCCUGAACCAGCCAAGUCGCGUGAGGGAAGACUGCCCUAUGGGUUGUAAACCUCUUUUGUCAGGGAGCAACGCCGGCUACGUGUAGCCGGACUGAGAGUACCUGAAGAAAAAGCAUCGGCUAACUCCGUGCCAGCAGCCGCGGUAAUACGGAGGAUGCGAGCGUUAUCCGGAUUUAUUGGGUUUAAAGGGUGCGUAGGCGGAAUGCCAAGUCAGCGGUAAAAUCGCGGGGCUCAACCUCGCUCCGCCGUUGAAACUGGCGUUCUUGAGUGGGCGAGAAGUAUGCGGAAUGCGUGGUGUAGCGGUGAAAUGCAUAGAUAUCACGCAGAACUCCGAUUGCGAAGGCAGCAUACCGGCGCCCUACUGACGCUGAGGCACGAAAGCGUGGGUAUCGAACAGGAUUAGAUACCCGAGUAGUC
Molecule: ribosomal RNA, 460 nt
Filed under: Lactococcus cremoris
Lineage: Bacteria; Bacillati; Bacillota; Bacilli; Lactobacillales; Streptococcaceae
Description: bacterial SSU rRNA
Rfam family: Bacterial small subunit ribosomal RNA
Source: RNAcentral